Molecule: ribosomal RNA, 619 nt
Filed under: Triticum aestivum (bread wheat)
Lineage: Eukaryota; Viridiplantae; Streptophyta; Magnoliopsida; Poales; Poaceae
Description: partial small subunit ribosomal RNA
Source: RNAcentral
GGACAUAUUGUUUUAAUCAAUUAUUAAUGUACGGGGAAUUAUUUUAAAAUACAUAUAUAUGCGAGAGAAGGUACGCAACCAUUGCACUGAUUGCAUGCACGUGCCGUCGAUAUUGUCCUAAUUAACUAUUGACUACAGUAAGUACAAGAACAUGGAGGAAGUACUACUAGUAUAAUUAAGCACACGACUAUACAUGCAGAUAUUAUAUCCUCGUUGUUCAGAUUUGUUCAUUCGAUGGUGGUGGCGCACUGGCAGUCCUGCACGACGACGGCCCUGAGCUGAGACGGCGAGACGGCGGCGGCGAUGCACUCGGCAGCGAGGGUGCGGCUACUGGACACCCAGACGACCAUCUUCCAUCGGAGCCUACCGGACUGGUGGCGCCUGGCCGCCGUGCAGUCCCUCGGAGCGCGGUCGGGGUCAUCGGUGAUGAGGGACAUGGAGAUGGCAGGAGCGCACCGCUGGCUGAGGAGAGCGCAAGAGAAGAGAGAGGAACGGUGUGUGUGGUGUACGUGAGAGACGAGCGCGCUAUGACUGUGGGUGAAAGAUGCUAAGGUAAUAUAUGGAGUAUAUAUCAGUCAUCAUACUUACAACGUUUUCUUUGGUAAGUGAUAAUAUUAAC